UCGGGAAUAUUGCGCAAUGGAGGAAACUCUGACGCAGUGACGCCGCGUGCAGGAAGAAGGUUUUCGGAUUGUAAACUGCUUUAGACAGGGAAGAAACAAGACAGUACCUGUAGAAUAAGCUCCGGCUAACUACAUGCCAGCAGCCGCGGUAAUACGUAGGGAGCAAGCGUUAUCCGGAUUUAUUGGGUGUAAAGGGUGCGUAGACGGGAAUGCAAGUUGGUUGUGAAAUCCCUCGGCUCAACCGAGGAAUUGCAACCAAAACUAUAUUUCUUGAGUGCUGGAGAGGAAAGUGGAAUUCCUAGUGUAGCGGUGAAAUGCGUAGAUAUUAGGAGGAACACCAGUGGCGAAGGCGACUUUCUGGACAGUAACUGACGUUGAGGCACGAAAGUGCGGGGUAGCAAACAGGAUUAGAUACC
This 416-nucleotide ribosomal RNA is filed under the name uncultured bacterium. RNAcentral describes it as "bacterial SSU rRNA". It matches the Rfam family "Bacterial small subunit ribosomal RNA", at positions 355 to 786 of the family's 1533-position model. The record is from RNAcentral.